Molecule: ribosomal RNA, 253 nt
Filed under: uncultured bacterium
Lineage: Bacteria
Description: partial 16S ribosomal RNA
Rfam family: Bacterial small subunit ribosomal RNA
Source: RNAcentral
UACGGGGGGGGCAAGCGUUGUUCGGAAUUACUGGGCGUAAAGGGCGCGUAGGCGGCCUACUAAGUCGGACGUGAAAUCCCCGGGCUCAACCCGGGAACUGCGUCCGAUACUGGAAGGCUUGAAUCCGGGAGAGGGAUGCGGAAUUCCAGGUGUAGCGGUGAAAUGCGUAGAUAUCUGGAGGAACACCGGUGGCGAAGGCGGCAUCCUGGACCGGCAUUGACGCUGAGGCGCGAAAGCCAGGGGAGCAAACGGG